AGAGUUUGAUCAUGGCUCAGAACGAACGCUGGCGGCAUGCCUAACACAUGCAAGUCGAACGUGAUCCAGGCUUCGGUCUGGUGAAAGUGGCAGACGGGUGAGUAACGCGUGGGAACCUGCCCUGUGGUAGGGAAUAACCGCGGGAAACUGCGGCUAAUACCCUAUGAGUCCUUCGGGAGAAAGAUUUAUCGCCAUAGGAGGGGCCCGCGUCGGAUUAGGUAGUUGGUGGGGUAACGGCCUACCAAGCCUUCGAUCCGUAGCUGGUCUGAGAGGAUGAUCAGCCACACUGGGACUGAGAUACGGCCCAGACUCCUACGGGAGGCAGCAGUGGGGAAUAUUGGACAAUGGGGGCAACCCUGAUCCAGCAAUGCCGCGUGGGUGAUGAAGGCCUUCGGGUUGUAAAAGCCCUUUUCGGCGGGGAAGAUGAUGACGGUACCCCGCAGAAAGAAAGCCCCCGGCUAACUUCGUGCCAGCAGCCCGCGGGUAAUACGAAGGGGGGCUAGCGUUGUUCGGGAAUUACUGGGCGUAAAGGGCGCGUAGGCUGUGCUGUAAGUCAGGCGUGAAAGGCCCGGGCUCAACCUGGGAACUGCGUUUGAUACUGCGGCGCUGGAAUGCAGGAGAGGAUGGCGGAAUUCCCAGUGUAGAGGUGAAAUUCGUAGAUAUUGGGAAGAACACCGGUGGCGAAGGCGGCCAUCUGGCCUGCAAUUGACGCUGAGGCGCGAAAGCGUGGGGAGCAAACAGGAUUAGAUACCCUAGUAGUCC
This 762-nucleotide ribosomal RNA is filed under the name uncultured bacterium. RNAcentral describes it as "bacterial SSU rRNA". It matches the Rfam family "Bacterial small subunit ribosomal RNA", at positions 8 to 796 of the family's 1533-position model. The record is from RNAcentral.